UGGGGAAUUUUGGACAAUGGGGGAAACCCUGAUCCAGCCAUCCCGCGUGUGCGAUGAAGGCCUUCGGGUUGUAAAGCACUUUUGGCAGGAAAGAAACGUCGCGGGUUAAUACCCCGCGGAACUGACGGUACCUGCAGAAUAAGCACCGGCUAACUACGUGCCAGCAGCCGCGGUAAUACGUAGGGUGCAAGCGUUAAUCGGAAUUACUGGGCGUAAAGCGUGCGCAGGCGGUUCGGAAAGAAAGAUGUGAAAUCCCAGAGCUUAACUUUGGAACUGCAUUUUUAACUACCGGGCUAGAGUGUGUCAGAGGGAGGUGGAAUUCCGCGUGUAGCAGUGAAAUGCGUAGAUAUGCGGAGGAACACCGAUGGCGAAGGCAGCCUCCUGGGAUAACACUGACGCUCAUGCACGAAAGCGUGGGGAGCAAACAGGAUUAGAUACCCUGGUAGUCCACGCCCUAAACGAUGUCAACUAGCUGUUGGGGUCUUCGGACCUUGGUAGCGCAGCUAACGCGUGAAGUUGACCGCCUGGGGAGUACGGUCGCAAGAUUAAAACUCAAAGGAAUUGACGGGGUCAUAGCUUUUCCUG
Molecule: ribosomal RNA, 585 nt
Filed under: uncultured bacterium
Lineage: Bacteria
Description: partial 16S ribosomal RNA
Rfam family: Bacterial small subunit ribosomal RNA
Source: RNAcentral